AAGAAAGAAGCGGGUUGGGGGAGAAAAAAAGCAAGCGCGCGCUCCCUCAGUACGAACGCGCCGCCUCCAGAAUUCCCGCCCGCCAGACGUAAACACCGUGGCGCGGGUGAUGUAACUAAACAACGCAUGCGUACGCUGCACGAGCCCUCCCUUAAAGAAGUUCGCUAUUAAGGGCUUCCGGCAUUUGGAACCACGCCUUUUUUUUACGGUGGCCGCCUUGGGACAAAAAGAAAAGAAAAGGAGACUGCGUUGCGCGCGCAGAGCAGGCGAAGAAGAAUAACAAUAGCGUCCUGCGCGCAAUAUGCAGAGGAGCGGUUUGCAGCGAGGCGUCGCGUUUCUCCAACGAUGCUGCAAAAUGUGUUUGGCUUCUCAGACAGCAACAUGUCUUGCUCUGCUUUGAAGCUAUUCGCCACAUGAUCUGUACAUCAGAAAUUCAUGAUAAGGAGAUCAUGAAGUAGAAAAUUUACCUCUGAACUUCAUCAGCUGCAGUCUCACCAUGAACACCGAGGCCGUCAUUACAGGGGAGUUUUCAGAUGUGAUUGAAAAUAGGGUGGUUAUUAGUAUAAAUAUUGAAUAGCUUUGAUAUAAAUUAUUUAGAAAAAAAUGUUAAAAUAUUAAAGAAAGCUCACUGCUUAAACAAAAUGUUUUAGAUUUGGUGAGAGAAUGAUUGAGCUUCUUAGUGAAUGUUUCCUUGAUUGAUCUUUUUAAAACCAAGUGAAGGUCAAUGUGUGUGAGAUUACAGAUCAAUUUUCUUUUAAAAAAAGAUCAUGUGUCGCUUGGAGUAUAAAAGAAGAAGUAGAUCAAUGGAUAUUUUCCACAGUAUGGUUUUUGGCAUAAUCUCCACAGAUGCCUAGAUAAGAUGUUUUAAAACAUAUAUAUUGUGUGUGUUUGGAUCAGAAUGUGUCAUUUAUGACUGAUGCUAGAAAAUUAAAAAAAAUGAUUUAUAGCACUCAUCAUCAUAGGCAUCCUUCAGUCUCGAGAGACUAUGGUAACAUGCUCUGAAUCGAGGAGUGUCCUCUCCAGAGCA
RNAcentral lists this long non-coding RNA (1027 nucleotides) under Pogona vitticeps (central bearded dragon). RNAcentral describes it as "lncRNA (ENSPVIG00000011616.1)". The record is from RNAcentral. Lineage: Eukaryota; Metazoa; Chordata; Lepidosauria; Squamata; Agamidae.